Long non-coding RNA from Lathyrus oleraceus (garden pea), 593 nucleotides. RefSeq lists it as uncharacterized. NCBI's taxonomy places the organism in Eukaryota, Viridiplantae, Streptophyta, Magnoliopsida, Fabales, Fabaceae. The transcript is spliced from 2 exons. The record is from RefSeq and is a predicted model, not a curated record.
ACCAUAAUUUUUUAGCCUAUCAUAUACUAAAGUAAAAUUAAGCUUGACCCGACUUAUUCACACUCUUAAGUAUUUGUGAUUAGAGAAUUGUUCUUUCCUCUCGAUUUUUUUCUAUUAAAAAAAACUUUAAUUUAGGUUAUCAUUAUUCUCUCACUCUUAAUCAUUCAUGCAACGAAGAGAGAAAAGCCCUGGUUUAAAGAUCAUCUGGAUUUGGACAUUCGGAACCGCCGCUAUACUCAUUGCGAAUGUGAUGAGAACCGGAAUACGGGACUUUCAAUCUGCUAUGAAAGCUGAAGAACAAGAACAACAGCAACAGCAACAGAAUGAUUCUGCAACGGUUAUUGAUUCUCGUUUUCCGGAGGAGAGGAUAAUUGAAGACUAGUUCAAUUUGUAUUGAGUGUUUGUGUUUUGAUAUUUACCGGCUUUUAUUUUGUGAUCGUGUUUAAACUUGUUGAGUAUAAAUGGGCACGCAAGGUGUUUGAUGAAUGUCCUAGCUGAAAACUUUACUCGGAAGCUGAAACUUAUGUUUGUGGCUACUGUUAAUUUCUUUUGUGCUGUUCUGAAUUUUUUUAAUUUAUUUAGUUUCAGAUUCA